RNAcentral lists this ribosomal RNA (254 nucleotides) under uncultured bacterium. RNAcentral describes it as "partial 16S ribosomal RNA". It matches the Rfam family "Bacterial small subunit ribosomal RNA", at positions 524 to 776 of the family's 1533-position model. RNAcentral also lists the same sequence under 1 other name. The record is from RNAcentral.
UACGAAGGGGGCUAGCGUUGUUCGGAAUUACUGGGCGUAAAGCGCGCGUAGGCGGUUUUGCAAGCCAGAGGUGAAAUGCCUGAGCUCAACUUAGGAAUUGCCUUUGGGACUGCGAGGCUUUGAGGACGGGAGAGGUGAGUGGAAUUCCCAGUGUAGAGGUGAAAUUCGUAGAUAUUGGGAAGAACACCGGUGGCGAAGGCGGCUCACUGGCCCGUUUCUGACGCUGCAGCGCGAAAGCGUGGGGAUCAAACAGG